RNAcentral lists this small RNA (535 nucleotides) under Pongo abelii (Sumatran orangutan). RNAcentral describes it as "processed transcript". Lineage: Eukaryota; Metazoa; Chordata; Mammalia; Primates; Hominidae. The record is from RNAcentral.
GCUGGUGCGUGCGUGCGCGCGCGCCGCGGGCGGGCCAGUGAAACCGGCGGCCCUGGCACGUGACCUAGGACCGGCUCACCGGGUCGCUUGGUGGCUCUGUCUGUCUGUCCGUCCGUCCGCGGGUGCCAUCAUGGCGGACGCGGCCAGUCAGGUGCUCCUGGGCUCCGGUCUCACCAUCCUGUCCCAGCCGCUCAUGUGGGAUAUGAGCCUCUUCCUCCAACAAUAGGACGAAAUAUUUUUGGGCGGCAAGUGUGUCAGCUUCCUGGUCUCUUUAGUUAUGCUCAGCACAUUGCCAGUAUCGAUGGGAGGCGUGGGUUGUUCACAGGCUUAACUCCAAGACUGUGUUCGGGAGUCCUUGGAACUGUGGUCCAUGGUAAAGUUUUACAGCAUUACCAGGAGAGUGACAAGGGUGAGGAGUUAGGACCUGGAAAUGUACAGAAAGAAGUCUCAUCUUCCUUUGACCACGUUAUCAAGGAGACAACUCGAGAGAUGAUCGCUCGUUCUGCUGCUACCCUCAUCACACAUCCCUUCCAUG